AUGCCCAUGCAAGUAGUACUUUCACCACUUUCAGCGACGAAGUGGCAACGAUUGCUCCACAAGGCAACUUCUUGGCCUACUUUGGACCAGUAAUUAUAUCAAUCAAGUUGAGAAUAAACAAGUUUUUCAAUCAAAUAUUUGAAUUCACAACACACAGGUCCUUCAGAACAGAGUAACGACGCUGAAUAUUCAAAUCAACAAAAGAAGGAAAAUAUGUAACACUAAAAACUUUCUAUUACCAUUGAAUUUCACCAAUCAACUACAUCAAUACGAAAACAAAGACAGAAUUACAACCAAUGACCUGAAAAAACAAACUUUAUUCUUACAUACAUGAAAAUCAAUCUUCCACAUAUGAAAAUCAAACACCUGGACUGGACUUGACAAACAAAAAUUCUAAAUUCAAACACCCUAUAGUCUAUAUUCACGUCUAUCAGACUAAGGAAAUUACAAUUUCUUUAAUCCCUUUUGUCAUCAACAUAUGAACUAACUAUAACCACAAAACCUAACUGUAACUAGUCCUCUAUUAGGAACUAAACACUGAACUGAAAAUUAAACCUUCAUCUUCACUACUAUCCUUGCUUCAAUUUCAACGCUUCUUCAAAUUUCUUCAUACGUUCGCACCCCACGUACAAUCCUCUUGAAAAAAUAAAGGAAGCACGCUAGGGACAACACGAACAAAAAAAAAACAACGAUCCAUCAUCAUCAUCUACUUCAGCAGAAAGUAAACAAACACCAAAGAAAGAAAUAAAGUAGAAACUAAUUAUUCCAAAUCAAGUCGAAGUAACCGCCUCAAAUCACUUGAUUUGCAAUUAGGGUUAGGGUUAGAGUUUUUUCUGGAUCUGAUUUGUGAGGAAGGGAUUGAUAAGGCAUCGUUUGGGAGAAAUCGACGUUGAAGACAAUCGUGGGAACGAAGAAUUGCAGUUCCCAUAAUUUUUGCUAGAGAGAGAAAGUUAGUUCUAGAGAGAGAAAGGAAAAGCGCGUGUUGUUGUUGUUAGAAGGAAGAGAGAGAAAGCAUAUACACGCUUGAAUAAUU
RNAcentral lists this long non-coding RNA (1033 nucleotides) under Medicago truncatula (barrel medic). RNAcentral's name for it is "lncRNA gene26871". The record is from RNAcentral. Lineage: Eukaryota; Viridiplantae; Streptophyta; Magnoliopsida; Fabales; Fabaceae.